Molecule: long non-coding RNA, 186 nt
Organism: Pomacea canaliculata
Lineage: Eukaryota; Metazoa; Mollusca; Gastropoda; Architaenioglossa; Ampullariidae
Exons: 3
Source: RefSeq, a predicted model, not a curated record
CGUUUCACCGCGAGCUGGACUGGAACGACCGGUCUGACAUGAUGCCUUCAUCUCAUUAAUUGCUCCCCUACAAGUGUUGAUCACACUGAAUUUAGCUCUGACUCAGCUUUACCAGAGUGACUUUGCUGUUCCUUGCAAGUUGAUCUGCUAUGGGAAGGAUGGUCCCCAGUGACAUACGGUGCUCUG